GCCUGUAACAUAACAUUAAUGCAAUAGAUCCUAUUAGAACUCCACAGUUAAGCGCGAUCAUUCUAGAGUAGUAUUGGGAUGGGUGAAUGCACAGGAAGUUCUAGUGUUUUACAUUCC
Non-coding RNA from Picea glauca (white spruce), 117 nucleotides. The record is from Rfam. NCBI's taxonomy places the organism in Eukaryota, Viridiplantae, Streptophyta, Pinopsida, Pinales, Pinaceae.